UACCUUGAUGGGCAGGUCAAAACAUUGAAUACACAAGAGUCUCGUUUCAUGUUGACUGGGUCCCGUCCUAUUGCGCAACUUAGUACAAUAACCAGUCCAGAAUUUUGAGACCAGUACAUGUAACUGGAUACAUAAUUAUUAAUCAGAGUGAUGUGACACCAGUUUAUCUUCAACGCUGACACUAUUGAUC
Haliotis rubra (blacklip abalone) is the source of this 190-nucleotide long non-coding RNA. RefSeq lists it as uncharacterized. The transcript is spliced from 3 exons. Lineage: Eukaryota; Metazoa; Mollusca; Gastropoda; Lepetellida; Haliotidae. The record is from RefSeq and is a predicted model, not a curated record.